GGGGGGGAUCUGUGAAAGCACACAGGCUGGAGAGGGGAUCCCAUUGAUCAGCGGGUAGAGAAACUCUUGCAGCUAAGCCUGAGAUUUGUGAACAGGUCAAGGAGACUGAAACCAGAGCUGUUUGGACUCUCAUUCUGAUGCCACACAUUCACUGCAAAUGAUCCUUUGGU
Cyprinus carpio (common carp) is the source of this 170-nucleotide long non-coding RNA. The record is from Ensembl. NCBI's taxonomy places the organism in Eukaryota, Metazoa, Chordata, Actinopteri, Cypriniformes, Cyprinidae.